RNAcentral lists this ribosomal RNA (582 nucleotides) under Vishniacozyma victoriae. RNAcentral describes it as "eukaryotic LSU rRNA". It matches the Rfam family "Eukaryotic large subunit ribosomal RNA", at positions 83 to 658 of the family's 3401-position model. The record is from RNAcentral. Lineage: Eukaryota; Fungi; Basidiomycota; Tremellomycetes; Tremellales; Bulleribasidiaceae.
GUACGGCGAGUGAACCGGGAUGAGCUCAAAUUUAAAAUCUGGCGUCUUUCAGGCGUCCGAGUUGUAAUCUAUAGAGGCGUUUUCCGCGCCGGACCGCGUCCAAGUCUCUUGGAAUAGAGUAUCAAAGAGGGUGACAAUCCCGUACUUGACGCGACAACCGGUGCUCUGUGAUACGUUCUCAAUGAGUCGAGUUGUUUGGGAAUGCAGCUCUAAAUGGGUGGUAAAUUCCAUCUAAGGCUAAAUAUUGGCGAGAGACCGAUAGCGAACAAGUACCGUGAGGGAAAGAUGAAAAGCACUUUGGAAAGAGAGUUAAACAGCACGUGAAAUUGUUAAAAGGGAAACGAUUGAAGUCAGUCGUGUGAAAGGUAUUCAGCCGUCUCUGGCGGUGUAUUUGCCUUUCACGGGUCAACAUCAGUUUGAUCCGGUAGAAAAAGGCAGGAGGAAGGUGGCACCCUCGGGUGUGUUAUAGCCUCUUGUCAUAUGUGCCGGACCAGACUGAGGAACGCAGCUUGCCGCAAGGCCGGGGUUCGCCCACGUACAAGCUUAGGAUGUUGACAUAAUGGCUUUAAACGACCCGCUGAA